AAACCAGUUUCGUGAUUUUGCGAUGCAUGAUCUCUCUGGCAAACCCCCACACUAUGUUUUCAGCGUCUAGAGCAUCAUCCUUCCUGUUCUUUCUCUCAAGGCUUUAACAAGUCUGAGACAUUCUGGAUGUGAAAUUAUACCUGGUCUUGAUUAUUGAUGUGAUUAAUGGUAUAACUCUCUUGCUGCCCUAUUAGUAAGGUGGGAACUUGUGUACUGUUGAAGCUGAAGAACUGUUUGGUCCUCAGGCAUAGUAAUUCUUUAUGAAACUUUUAAUUAUUGAUCUCCCA
Molecule: long non-coding RNA, 287 nt
Filed under: Eucalyptus grandis
Lineage: Eukaryota; Viridiplantae; Streptophyta; Magnoliopsida; Myrtales; Myrtaceae
Description: long non-coding RNA (EGRA_LNC007664)
Source: RNAcentral